AUUAGUAACUAAUGAACACAGGAACUUCCGAAUGAACUUUAAUAUAUAAUGGGCCAACGAUCGAGAAAAUAGUAUGUCGCGAAGCUAAAAGGGCGAAGAAAUGAAGGUAUUGUCUCAAAUGGCUCUAUUUUAAUGAGACCAACGCAAGAGAACAGGCGCGACUAACCGACAUCAUUUGCGCGAAAAAGGGCACAUUUUUGACGGAUAAUUAACUCACCUUUAGCACAGUUUAUUACCCAGAAACUGACCUGGAUAUCUCUCCCACAAACCCGAACUUCAUUCCACAUACCUGACUGGAAUAUCCAGAUGUAACUAGCGUCCACAACUGAACCAGCUGAACAAAUUAAGCAAAGUGAGCCGUGGUGGUAAAGCUGGGGAUUUGAUGGCGUGGCCGGAAAAAUUAACCCAUCAAAAAUUAAUGUCAAGAAGCCGGGCUUUGCCAUGGGGAAUCGUUUUACUACCGCCAGCGAAACAAAAGAUGAUAUUUUACGUCUUUUCUUAGGCAAAAACGAUUUCUCCGAGCGAGAUAUGAAUAAUAUGUUUGGGAUUUGGAUCUAUAUUUCAAACGGGCCGAGUCUGUUGCUGAAAACGCGAGCAGUUUUCCUUUGAAUAAAUUUGCGAUUUUGCUUCAUUUGC
Molecule: long non-coding RNA, 636 nt
Organism: Dendroctonus ponderosae (mountain pine beetle)
Lineage: Eukaryota; Metazoa; Arthropoda; Insecta; Coleoptera; Curculionidae
Exons: 3
Source: RefSeq, a predicted model, not a curated record